UACGAGGGGGGCAAAUGUUGUUCGGAAUCACUGGGCGUAAAGGGUGCGUAGGCGGGCUCUUAAGUUAGGUGUUUAAUCCCGGGGCCCAACCCCGGUCGUGCACUUAAAACUGGGAGUCUUGAAUAGUGGAGAGGUCAGUGGAAUUGGGGGUGUAGCGGUGGAAUGCGUAGAGAUCCCCAAGAACACCAGUUGCGAAGGCGGCUGACUGGACACAUAUUGACGCUGAGGCUCGAAAGCAUGGGGAGCAAACAGG
Molecule: ribosomal RNA, 253 nt
Filed under: uncultured bacterium
Lineage: Bacteria
Description: partial 16S ribosomal RNA
Rfam family: Bacterial small subunit ribosomal RNA
Source: RNAcentral